AUAUUGGACAAUGGGGGGAAGCCUGAUCCAGCCAUGCCGCGUGUGUGAAGAAGGUCUUCGGAUUGUAAAGCACUUUAAGUUGGGAGGACGGGCAGUAAGUUAAUACCUUGCUGUUUUGACGUUACCGACAGAAUAAGCACCGGCUAACUGUGUGCCAGCAGCCGCGGUAAUACAGAGGGUGCAAGCGUUAAUCGGAAUUACUGGGCGUAAAGCGCGCGUAGGUGGUUCGUUAAGGUGGAUGUGAGAGCCCCGGGCUCAACCUGGGAACUGCAUCCAAAACUGGCGAGCUAGAGUAUGGUAGAGGGUGGUGGAAUUUCCUGUGUAGCGGUGAAAUGCGUAGAUAUAGGAAGGAACACCAGUGGCGAAGGCGACCACCUGGACUGAUACUGACACUGAGGUGCGAAAGCGUGGGGAGCAAAC
Molecule: ribosomal RNA, 420 nt
Filed under: uncultured bacterium
Lineage: Bacteria
Description: bacterial SSU rRNA
Rfam family: Bacterial small subunit ribosomal RNA
Source: RNAcentral